This 368-nucleotide ribosomal RNA is filed under the name uncultured organism. RNAcentral describes it as "bacterial LSU rRNA". It matches the Rfam family "Bacterial large subunit ribosomal RNA", at positions 2099 to 2465 of the family's 2925-position model. The record is from RNAcentral.
CUUUACUAUAACUUGGCACUGAAUUUUGGCGAGAUUUGUGUAGGAUAGGUGGGAGACUUUGAUGCUUGGGCGCUAGCUCAGGCGGAGUCGUCGUUGAAAUACCACCCUAAUGUUGUUGAGAUUCUAACCAUGUUCCAUUAACUGGACGUGGGACACUGUCUGGUGGGUAGUUUGACUGGGGCGGUCGCCUCCUAAAGAGUAACGGAGGCGCUCUAAGGUUCCCUCAGCGCGGUCGGCAAUCGCGCUAAUGAGUGCAUUGGCAUAAGGGAGCUUAACUGCAAGACAAACACGUCGAGCAGGUGCGAAAGCAGGACAAAGUGAUCCGGUGGCACUGUGUGGAAAGGCCAUCGCUCAGCGGAUAAAAGCUA